CACCCUGAUCGUAUCUAGGUUCUAACCUGGUACCGUAAUCCGGUGCGGGGACAGUGUCAGGUGGGCAGUUUGACUGGGGCGGUCGCCUCCUAAAGAGUAACGGAGGCGCCCAAAGGUUCCCUCAGAAUGGUUGGAAAUCAUUCGAAGAGUGCAAAGGCAUAAGGGAGCUUGACUGCGAGACCUACAAGUCGAGCAGGGACGAAAGUCGGGCUUAGUGAUCCGGUGGUACCGCAUGGAAGGGCCAUCGCUCAACGGAUAAAAGCUACCCUGGGGAUAACAGGCUUAUCUCCCCCAAGAGUCCACAUCGACGGGGAGGUUUGGCACCUCGAUGUCGGCUCAUCGCAUCCUGGGGCUGAAGUAGGUCCCAAGGGUUGGGCUGUUCGCCCAUUAAAGCGGUACGCGAGCUGGGUUCAGAACGUCGUGAGACAGUUCGGUCCCUAUCUGUCGUGGGCGUAGGAAAUUUGAGAGGAGCUGUCCUUAGUACGAGAGGACCGGGAUGGACGUACCGCUGGUGUACCAGUUGUUCCGCCAGGAGCACCGCUGGGUAGCUAUGUACGGAAGGGAUAAGCGCUGAAAGCAUCUAAGCGUGAAGCCCCCCUCAAGAUGAGAUUUCCCAGUAUGUAAGACCCCUUGAAGACGACGAGGUAGAUAGGCUGGGGGUGGAAGUGCAGUAAUGCAUGGAGCUGACCAGUAC
This 694-nucleotide ribosomal RNA is filed under the name Salmonella enterica. RNAcentral's name for it is "partial 23S ribosomal RNA". It matches the Rfam family "Bacterial large subunit ribosomal RNA", at positions 2201 to 2901 of the family's 2925-position model. Lineage: Bacteria; Pseudomonadati; Pseudomonadota; Gammaproteobacteria; Enterobacterales; Enterobacteriaceae. The record is from RNAcentral.